Molecule: ribosomal RNA, 424 nt
Filed under: Verrucomicrobiota bacterium
Lineage: Bacteria; Pseudomonadati; Verrucomicrobiota
Description: Verrucomicrobia bacterium partial 16S ribosomal RNA
Rfam family: Bacterial small subunit ribosomal RNA
Source: RNAcentral
UGAGGAAUAUUGGUCAAUGGACGCAAGUCUGAACCAGCCAAGUAGCGUGCAGGAUGACGGCCCUAUGGGUUGUAAACUGCUUUUAUAUGGGGAUAAAGUGGGGAACGUGUUCCCUUUUGCAGGUACCAUAUGAAUAAGGACCGGCUAAUUCCGUGCCAGCAGCCGCGGUAAUACGGAAGGUUCGGGCGUUAUCCGGAUUUAUUGGGUUUAAAGGGAGCGUAGGCCGUUUGGUAAGCGUGUUGUGAAAUGUAGGAGCUCAACUUCUAGAUUGCAGCGCGAACUGUCAGACUUGAGUGCGCACAACGUAGGCGGAAUUCAUGGUGUGGCGGUGAAAUGCUUAGAUAUCAUGAAGAACUCCGAUUGCGAAGGCAGCUUACGGGAGCGCAACUGACGCUGAAGCUCGAAGGUGCGGGUAUCGAACAGG